AAAUGGCAGUGAGUAUAUCGCUACAAUACGCCGCCCAGUAUGUGCAAUAGUGAUAAACGCACAACAACACAUACUGAAGAUAUAGUCUGUGCCGCUGGAAACAGCGGA
This 108-nucleotide non-coding RNA is filed under the name Parcubacteria group bacterium GW2011_GWA2_47_8. The record is from RNAcentral.